RNAcentral lists this ribosomal RNA (694 nucleotides) under uncultured bacterium. Its description in RNAcentral is "bacterial SSU rRNA". It matches the Rfam family "Bacterial small subunit ribosomal RNA", at positions 32 to 715 of the family's 1533-position model. The record is from RNAcentral.
AACGCUAGCUACAGGCUUAACACAUGCAAGUCGAGGGGCAGCAUGAAGUUUGCUUGCAAACUUUGAUGGCGACCGGCGCACGGGUGAGUAACACGUAUCCAACCUGCCGAUAACUCGGGGAUAGCCUUUCGAAAGAAAGAUUAAUACCCGAUGGCAUGGAAAGUCCGCAUGGUCUUUCCAUUAAAGAACUUCGGUUAUCGAUGGGGAUGCGUUCCAUUAGAUAGUAGGCGGGGUAACGGCCCACCUAGUCAACGAUGGAUAGGGGUUCUGAGAGGAAGGUCCCCCACAUUGGAACUGAGACACGGUCCAAACUCCUACGGGAGGCAGCAGUGAGGAAUAUUGGUCAAUGGACGAGAGUCUGAACCAGCCAAGUAGCGUGAAGGAUGACUGCCCUAUGGGUUGUAAACUUCUUUUAUACGGGAAUAAAGUGUUCCACGUGUGGAAUUUUGUAUGUACCGUAUGAAUAAGGAUCGGCUAACUCCGUGCCAGCAGCCGCGGUAAUACGGAGGAUCCGAGCGUUAUCCGGAUUUAUUGGGUUUAAAGGGAGCGUAGGUGGAAGAUUAAGUCAGCCUGUGAAAGUUUGCGGCUCAACCGUAAAAUUGCAGUUGAUACUGGUUUUCUUGAGUGCAGUAGAGGUGGGCGGAAUUCGUGGUGUAGCGGUGAAAUGCUUAGAUAUCACGAAGAACUCCGAUUG